This 648-nucleotide ribosomal RNA is filed under the name Pseudotomentella sp. RNAcentral's name for it is "partial small subunit ribosomal RNA". It matches the Rfam family "Bacterial small subunit ribosomal RNA", at positions 364 to 950 of the family's 1533-position model. Lineage: Eukaryota; Fungi; Basidiomycota; Agaricomycetes; Thelephorales; Thelephoraceae. The record is from RNAcentral.
UUAGUCAAUGCUCGCAAGAGUGAACUAGCUAACUGAAAUCAUACUUGUGUCAAGUGUGAUAACGUAAGGGAAGAUAAUGACAUUACCUUACUAUUAGUGUUGUCCAAAACUGGUGCCAGAAGACUCGGUAAGGCCAGAGACGCAAACGUUAAUCGUCUUAAUCAGGCGUAAAGGGUGUGUAGGCAGCUUUAAAAUUUUACUUUAUUAUUUAAAUUAUUUUUUAUAUAAUAUAUUUAAAAUUCUAAAUUUAUUUAAUGUAGACUAAUUAAGAAUAAUAAAUAAUUAAAUAUUUAAUUAUUAAGAAUUAAUUAAAGUAAAGAUAAAAUAAAUAAAAGCUAGAAUCAAAUAGAGGAUAUUUAAAUAAUACUUAGAGGAGGGGUGAUAUCCUUAGAUACUAAGUAGAAUAUUAAUGGUGAAAGCUUUUAUCUACUAAUGAUUGACGCUGAGAAACGAAGGUGAGGAUAGGAAAUAGGAUUAGAUACCCAGAUACCCCUCUCUGUCAACGAUGAAUGGUGGUUGCUAAUUAUAUAAAUUAAUUGGUGGCGAUGUUAACACGAUAACCAUUCCGCCAUGUGAGUACGACUGCAAAGUUGAAAACAAAAAAAUUAGUCGGUCUCGAAGCAAACGAAGUGAAGCAUGUUAUUUAAU